RNAcentral lists this transfer RNA (64 nucleotides) under Byrrhus sp. MJTNT-2012. Its description in RNAcentral is "tRNA-His". Lineage: Eukaryota; Metazoa; Arthropoda; Insecta; Coleoptera; Byrrhidae. The record is from RNAcentral.
AUUUGAAUAGUUUAAAAAAAAUAUUAGUUUGUGAUUCUAAUGAUACAUUUUAUGUUUCAAAUAA